AGAGUUUGAUCCUGGCUCAGGAUGAACGCUGGCGGCGUGCCUAAUACAUGCAAGUCGAGCGAACGGACGAGAAGCUUGCUUCUCUGAUGUUAGCGGCGGACGGGUGAGUAACACGUGGAUAACCUACCUAUAAGACUGGGAUAACUUCGGGAAACCGGAGCUAAUACCGGAUAAUAUUUUGAACCGCAUGGUUCAAAAGUGAAAGACGGUCUUGCUGUCACUUAUAGAUGGAUCCGCGCUGCAUUAGCUAGUUGGUAAGGUAACGGCUUACCAAGGCAACGAUGCAUAGCCGACCUGAGAGGGUGAUCGGCCACACUGGAACUGAGACACGGUCCAGACUCCUACGGGAGGCAGCAGUAGGGAAUCUUCCGCAAUGGGCGAAAGCCUGACGGAGCAACGCCGCGUGAGUGAUGAAGGUCUUCGGAUCGUAAAACUCUGUUAUUAGGGAAGAACAUAUGUGUAAGUAACUGUGCACAUCUUGACGGUACCUAAUCAGAAAGCCACGGCUAACUACGUGCCAGCAGCCGCGGUAAUACGUAGGUGGCAAGCGUUAUCCGGAAUUAUUGGGCGUAAAGCGCGCGUAGGCGGUUUUUUAAGUCUGAUGUGAAAGCCCACGGCUCAACCGUGGAGGGUCAUUGGAAACUGGAAAACUUGAGUGCAGAAGAGGAAAGUGGAAUUCCAUGUGUAGCGGUGAAAUGCGCAGAGAUAUGGAGGAACACCAGUGGCGAAGGCGACUUUCUGGUCUGUAACUGACGCUGAUGUGCGAAAGCGUGGGGAUCAAACAGGAUUAGAUACCCUGGUAGUCCACGCCGUAAACGAUGAGUGCUAAGUGUUAGGGGGUUUCCGCCCCUUAGUGCUGCAGCUAACGCAUUAAGCACUCCGCCUGGGGAGUACGACCGCAAGGUUGAAACUCAAAGGAAUUGACGGGGACCCGCACAAGCGGUGGAGCAUGUGGUUUAAUUCGAAGCAACGCGAAGAACCUUACCAAAUCUUGACAUCCUUUGACAACUCUAGAGAUAGAGCCUUCCCCUUCGGGGGACAAAGUGACAGGUGGUGCAUGGUUGUCGUCAGCUCGUGUCGUGAGAUGUUGGGUUAAGUCCCGCAACGAGCGCAACCCUUAAGCUUAGUUGCCAUCAUUAAGUUGGGCACUCUAAGUUGACUGCCGGUGACAAACCGGAGGAAGGUGGGGAUGACGUCAAAUCAUCAUGCCCCUUAUGAUUUGGGCUACACACGUGCUACAAUGGACAAUACAAAGGGCAGCGAAACCGCGAGGUCAAGCAAAUCCCAUAAAGUUGUUCUCAGUUCGGAUUGUAGUCUGCAACUCGACUACAUGAAGCUGGAAUCGCUAGUAAUCGUAGAUCAGCAU
This 1366-nucleotide ribosomal RNA is filed under the name Staphylococcus aureus M1227. Its description in RNAcentral is "bacterial SSU rRNA". It matches the Rfam family "Bacterial small subunit ribosomal RNA", at positions 8 to 1355 of the family's 1533-position model. The record is from RNAcentral. Lineage: Bacteria; Bacillati; Bacillota; Bacilli; Caryophanales; Staphylococcaceae.